AGCGGCGUAAGGGACAGUAAUGUGUAGGUACGUACCUCCGGGCCUGGGAUAGCUGCGGGAAACUGCAAUUAAUACCAGAUAACGUCUCCGGACCAAAGGUGUGAUUCCGCCGGGAGAGCGGCCUACAUCCUAUUAGCUAGUUGGCGGGGUAACGGCCCACCAAGGCUCAGAUGGGUAGCAGGUGUGAGAGCACGACCUGCGUCACUGGGACUGAGACACUGCCCAGACACCUACGGGUGGCUGCAGUCGAGAAUCUUCGGCAAUGAGCGCAAGCUUGACCGAGCGACGCCGCGUGCGGGAUGAAGGCCUUCGGGUUGUAAACCGCUGUCAGAGGGGACGAAGUGCUAGUGGGUACUCCCAUUAGCUUGACUGAUCCUCAAAGGAAGGGUGGGCUAAGUUCGUGCCAGCAGCCGCGGUAAGACGUACCACCCGAACGUUAUUCGGAUUUACUGGGCUUAAAGAGUCCGUAGGCGGCCAAGUAAGUUGGAUGUGAAAUACCUCGGCCUAACCGAGGAACAGCAUUCAAAACUACUUGGCUUGAGAGAGACAGAGGUGAGCGGAACUGAUGGUGGAGCGGUGAAAUGCGUUGAUAUCAUCAGGAACACCGGUGGCGAAAGCGGCUCACUGGGUCUCUUCUGACGCUCAGGGACGAAAGCUAGGGGAGCGAACGGGAUUAGAUACCCCGGUAGUCCUAGCCUUA
RNAcentral lists this ribosomal RNA (700 nucleotides) under uncultured bacterium. Its description in RNAcentral is "bacterial SSU rRNA". It matches the Rfam family "Bacterial small subunit ribosomal RNA", at positions 94 to 804 of the family's 1533-position model. The record is from RNAcentral.